ACAGCAGCAGUGAUACCAUGAUCAUAAGGAUGGUUUCCCCAGGGGAAGGCUUAUUCAUUGCACUCCAGUUGUGUUGAAUGAACUCUGUGAUGUCCCCAAAUGUGGGAAAGUCAACUGCAUUAUUUCUGGUAGUGGAGAACUGUUUGCUUUCUCCC
RNAcentral lists this small nuclear RNA (155 nucleotides) under Microtus ochrogaster (prairie vole). RNAcentral's name for it is "U1 spliceosomal RNA (ENSMOCG00000005755.1)". It matches the Rfam family "U1 spliceosomal RNA". Rfam says of the family: U1 is a small nuclear RNA (snRNA) component of the spliceosome (involved in pre-mRNA splicing). Its 5' end forms complementary base pairs with the 5' splice junction, thus defining the 5' donor site of an intron. Lineage: Eukaryota; Metazoa; Chordata; Mammalia; Rodentia; Cricetidae. The record is from Rfam by way of RNAcentral.